UGGGGAAUAUUGCACAAUGGGCGCAAGCCUGAUGCAGCAACGCCGCGUGAACGAUGAAGGUCUUCGGAUCGUAAAGUUCUGUUGCAGGGGAAGAUAAUGACGGUACCCUGUGAGGAAGCCCCGGCUAACUACGUGCCAGCAGCCGCGGUAAUACGUAGGGGGCUAGCGUUAUCCGGAUUUACUGGGCGUAAAGGGUGCGUAGGUGGUCUUUCAAGUCGGUGGUUAAAGGCUACGGCUCAACCGUAGUUAGCCUCCGAAACUGGAAGACUUGAGUGCGCACAACGUAGGCGGAAUUCAUGGUGUAGCGGUGAAAUGCUUAGAUAUCAUGAAGAACUCCGAUUGCGAAGGCAGCUUACGGGAGCGCAACUGACGCUGAAGCUCGAAGGUGCGGGUAUCGAACAGG
RNAcentral lists this ribosomal RNA (403 nucleotides) under Verrucomicrobiota bacterium. Its description in RNAcentral is "Verrucomicrobia bacterium partial 16S ribosomal RNA". It matches the Rfam family "Bacterial small subunit ribosomal RNA", at positions 355 to 776 of the family's 1533-position model. The record is from RNAcentral. Lineage: Bacteria; Pseudomonadati; Verrucomicrobiota.